Molecule: ribosomal RNA, 331 nt
Filed under: uncultured bacterium
Lineage: Bacteria
Description: bacterial SSU rRNA
Rfam family: Bacterial small subunit ribosomal RNA
Source: RNAcentral
AGAGUUUGAUCCUGGCUCAGGAUGAACGCUAGCGACAGGCUUAACACAUGCAAGUCGAGGGGCAGCGGGGAGUGGCGACACUCUGCCGGCGACCGGCGCACGGGUGCGUAACACGUGUGCAACCUGCCCGUCACCGGGGGAUAACCCGUGGAAACGCGGACUAAAACCCCAUGAGACGAGAAUGGCGCAUGCCAUGAACGUUAAAACCGAGGUGGUGACGGAUGGGCACGCGGGACAUUAGGUAGUUGGCGGGGUAACGGCCCCCCAAGCCGACGAUGUCUAGGGGUUCUGAGAGGAAGGUCCCCCACACUGGUACUGAGACACGGACCAG